ACUGCUAUCGGGGUGGGACUAAGACAUGCGAGUCGAGCGUCUCUAGUUAUGUUGAGACGCGGCAUACGGCUCAGUAACACGUGGCUAACCUACCCUCAGGACGGGGACAAACCCGGGAAACUGGGGCUAAUAUCCGAUAGGUGAGGAAUCCUGGAAUGGUUCUUCACCCAAAGGACAUUGGAAACAUGCUUUCUCUGUCGCCUGGGGAUGGGGCCGCGUCCGAUCAGGUUGUUGGUGAGGUAAUGGCUCACCAAGCCUUUAACCGGUACGGGCCGUGAGAGCGGUAGCCCGGAGAUGGGUACUGAGACAAGGACCCAGGCCCUACGGGGCGCAGCAGUCGCGAAAACUCCGCAAUGCACGAAAGUGUGACGGGGCUACCCCGAGUGCCGUCCGCUGAGGAUGGCUUUUCCUUGGUGUAACUAGCCGGGGGAAUAAGGAGAGGGCAAGACUGGUGUCAGCCGCCGCGGUAAUACCAGCUCUCCGAGUGGUAGGGAUGAUUAUUGGGCUUAAAGCGUCCGUAGCCGGCUUAGCAAGUUUCCUGUUAAAUUCAGCGACCUAAUCGUUGAGCCGCGGGAAAUACUACUAGGCUAGGAGGCGGGAGAGGUCGACGGUACUUCUGGGGUAGGGGUGAAAUCCUAUAAUCCCGGGAGGACCACCAGUGGCGAAGGCUGUCGACUAGAACGCGCUCGACGGUGAGGGACGAAAGCUGGGGGAGCGAACCGGAUUAGAUACCCGGGUAGUCCCAGCUGUAAACGAUGCGGGCUAGGUGUUGGGGUGGCUACGUGCCACUUCAGUGCCGCAGGGAAGCCAUUAAGCCCGCCGCCUGGGGAGUACGGCCGCAAGGCUGAAACUUAAAGGAAUUGGCGGGGGAGCACCACAAGGCGUGAAG
Molecule: ribosomal RNA, 889 nt
Filed under: uncultured archaeon
Lineage: Archaea
Description: bacterial SSU rRNA
Rfam family: Archaeal small subunit ribosomal RNA
Source: RNAcentral